Molecule: ribosomal RNA, 115 nt
Filed under: Methanomicrobia archaeon
Lineage: Archaea; Methanobacteriati; Methanobacteriota; Methanomicrobia
Source: RNAcentral
UACGGCGGUCAUAGCGGAAGGGAUACACCCGUUCCCAUGCCGAACACGGAAGUUAAGCCUUCCUGCGUAUUGGACUGUACUGCCUUCUGGCGGGAACUUCAAUACGCCGCCGGCU